Molecule: long non-coding RNA, 200 nt
Filed under: Brassica napus (rape)
Lineage: Eukaryota; Viridiplantae; Streptophyta; Magnoliopsida; Brassicales; Brassicaceae
Description: long non-coding RNA (BNAP_LNC012883)
Source: RNAcentral
UUUCUAUAAAUAAAAUCUGUUCUACGUGUACUCAGUCCUCACUACAGCCUCCUUUCUACAGGUGUAGCACAUUAUUGUACGGUUAUGGACUCUUUUAUUUUGUGUUUACGGUCGUGUUUCAUUGUUUUGAUCUUUGGUUCCAAACUAUAGCCUGAGCAUCUUAGAGAGCAUGCCAAAGAAGGAACAAAUGCAAUUUCUUA